AUGGCGCUUCACACUGUCUCAGGCAUCAAGCUCCCGCCCUUCUCUCCCCCGCCUCCCCACCACCACCUGGGCGCGAGCCCCAGCGGCGGCAACCUCUACGCGGCCAGCGCAUUCCCGCGACGCCGAUGCGGCGGGCUCGCCGCCGUCGUGCGCUGCGCGAGGCGCACGGGCAAGCGGCGGUACCCGUCGGAGAAGAAGCGGCUGGAUCGGCGCCACAAGGAGCAGCUCCGCCAGACCGCCCCCGAGGAGGGCGGCGUGGCCCGGGAGGCUGGCUUCUGGCGCCUCUCCAAGCUCGCCGUCCCCGCCAGCGACGACCCCGGCAAGGACUUCCUCGGCGUCUCCCCGCCGCUCCUCCAGGCCAUUGCCAAGGCCCUCAAGUUCCCGGUCGCUUCUAUGCUCCCUGAAGAGGCCUUCUCUGUUAUCCGCAAGUCAUUUGAUGCACGCAAGAUUUUGAAAGAACCUCAAUUUGUUUAUACUGUUGAUGUGGAUGCUAAGAAGCUUCUGGACAUGGAGCCAAGGACAUGGGAUUUUAUUGCUAGAUUGGAACCCAGGCUUGGAAUUGUAGAAUAUAUGUCCGAUGGGAGGGUAGCAGCUGAUCUGAUCAGUAUGCUUAAUGUUCAUAACAAAGUCUCCGAUGAUGAACAUGGUAUCAGGGAUACUGUUAAUAAUGGCUCGAUCAGUCCUACACGAAUGAAACCAAGGGUGGCAAUUGUAGGAAGUGGCCCAUCUGGGUUGUUUGCUGCCCUUGUGUUAGCUGAACUUGGAGCAGAAGUUACCUUAUUGGAGCGUGGCCAACCUGUUGAGCAAAGAGGGCGUGACAUUGGUGCACUAGCAGUUAGACGAAUUCUCCAAUCAGAAAGCAACUUUUGCUUUGGCGAGGGUGGUGCAGGUACAUGGAGUGAUGGGAAGCUUGUGACCAGGAUAGGGAAAAACACUGAUGGUGUUCAGGCUGUGAUGAAAACAUUUGUUCAUUUCGGAGGCCCUCCAAACAUUCUCAUUGAUGGAAGACCUCACUUGGGUACAGAUAAACUUGUCCCUCUGUUGCGGAAUUUCAGACACCACUUAAGAGAGUUGGGCGUUGCCAUAAGAUUUAAUACUAGAGUAGAUGACCUUAUAGUGGAAGGCGGGCAGGUCAAAGGAGUUGUGGUUUCUGAUUCAAAUCUACAGCCAGGUUCUGUUGAUCAGAAACUAUCAUUCGAUGCAGUUGUGUUAGCAGUGGGGCACUCAGCUCGUGACACAUACAGUAUGCUUCUGAGGCAUAAUGUAGAUAUAACCCCCAAGAAUUUUUCUGUUGGUUUAAGAAUCGAGCACCCCCAAGAACUGAUAAACAACAUCCAAUAUUCUGAAUUGGCUGCUGAAGUACAUAAAGGGCGUGGGCGGAUACCUGUAGCAGAUUACAAGAUAGUGAAGUCUAUUGGUGAAGGAGAUGUGAAGAAUGAUAUAGAGCAAGUAGAUCAAAAUCGCAGUUGUUAUUCGUUUUGCAUGUGUCCUGGAGGACAGGUUGUUCUAACUAGCACAAACCCAUCGGAAUUGUGUGUCAAUGGCAUGUCAUUCUCACGGCGAGCGUCUAAGUGGGCAAACUCGGCUCUUGUGGUCACUGUAUCAUCUCAUGAUUUUGAACCAUUUCAAUCCCAUGGUUCUCUUGCGGGCGUAGAGUUCCAGAGAGAGUAUGAAAGAAGAGCAGCUAUGAUGGGGGGAGGGAAUUUUGUUGUCCCUGCACAGUGUGUCACAGAUUUUAUCAGUAACAAAUUGUCAGUUACAACUCUCCCACCAUCAAGCUAUAGGUUGGGAGUUCGUCCAUCCAAACUCCAUGAGUUAUUCCCUCCUUACAUAACUGAAGCUUUGCAACAAUCAAUAACGAUGAUUGACAAAGAGAUGCCAGGCUUUAUUUCUAGUGAAGCCUUACUUCAUGGUGUAGAGACUAGAACGAGCUCCCCCUUGCAAAUCUCACGACACAGGGAGACAUACGAGAGCACGUCACUGCAAGGGUUGUAUCCAAUUGGGGAAGGUGCUGGCUAUGCAGGGGGCAUAGUAAGUGCUGCUGUGGAUGGCAUGUAUUGCGGUUUUGCUUUAGCAAAACAGCUUUCUCUGUUCGCUGGUGAUAUAGAGGCAAUUUUUGGCAAAGCACAAAAACAAACAGGUUCUGUAAAAUAUUGA
RNAcentral lists this ribosomal RNA (2157 nucleotides) under Triticum aestivum (bread wheat). RNAcentral's name for it is "partial small subunit ribosomal RNA". Lineage: Eukaryota; Viridiplantae; Streptophyta; Magnoliopsida; Poales; Poaceae. The record is from RNAcentral.